CGCGUAGGCGGCUUUAUAAGUCAGAUGUGAAAGCCCACGGCUUAACUGUGGAAGUGCAUUUGAAACUGUGAAGCUUGAGUAUCGGAGGGGAGUGUGGAAUUCCCGGUGUAGAGGUGAAACUCGUAGAGAUCGGGAGGAACACCGGUGGCGAAGGCGACACUCUGGACGAAUACUGACGCUGAGGCGCGAAAGCGUGGGGAGCAAACA
RNAcentral lists this ribosomal RNA (207 nucleotides) under uncultured bacterium. RNAcentral's name for it is "partial 16S ribosomal RNA". It matches the Rfam family "Bacterial small subunit ribosomal RNA", at positions 568 to 774 of the family's 1533-position model. The record is from RNAcentral.